This 99-nucleotide small nucleolar RNA is filed under the name Strongylocentrotus purpuratus (purple sea urchin). Its description in RNAcentral is "small nucleolar RNA SNORD14". It matches the Rfam family "Small nucleolar RNA SNORD14". Rfam says of the family: U14 small nucleolar RNA (U14 snoRNA) is required for early cleavages of eukaryotic precursor rRNAs. In yeasts, this molecule possess a stem-loop region (known as the Y-domain) which is essential for function. The record is from Rfam by way of RNAcentral. Lineage: Eukaryota; Metazoa; Echinodermata; Echinoidea; Camarodonta; Strongylocentrotidae.
CAGCUAUGAUGAAUUUUAUUCCAAUCAUUCGCAGUUUCCACCAUAAAGACUUUACAGUCUUAAUGAUGGCUGAAGAUCCUUCCUUGGAUGUCUGAGCUG